Molecule: transfer RNA, 62 nt
Filed under: Phloeotribus sp. BMNH 1047247
Lineage: Eukaryota; Metazoa; Arthropoda; Insecta; Coleoptera; Curculionidae
Description: tRNA-Arg
Source: RNAcentral
UAAUAAGAAGCAAAUAAUUGCAUUUAAUUUCGACUUAAAAAUUUGGUUUUUACCCUUAUUAA